AGAGUUUGAUCCUGGCUCAGGAUGAACGCUAGCUACAGGCUUAACACAUGCAAGUCGAGGGGCAGCGAGAGGAAAGCUUGCUUCCUGUCGGCGACCGGCGCACGGGUGAGUAACGCGUAUCCAACCUUCCCCUUAGUAGGGCAUAGCCCGGCGAAAGUCGGAUUAAUACCCUAUGUUUUUCCAAUGAGGACAUCUGAGCUGGAACAAAGAUUCAUCGCUAAGGGAUGGGGAUGCGUCUGAUUAGGUAGUCGGCGGGGUAACGGCCCACCGAGCCUGCGAUCAGUAGGGGUUCUGAGAGGAAGGUCCCCCACAUUGGAACUGAGACACGGUCCAAACUCCUACGGGAGGCAGCAGUGAGGAAUAUUGGUCAAUGGGCGCGAGCCUGAACCAGCCAAGUAGCGUGCCAGGAUGACGGCCCUAUGGGUUGUAAACUGCUUUUAUGCGGGGAUAAAGUGCACCACGUGUGGUGUUUUGUAGGUACCGCAUGAAUAAGGACCGGCUAAUUCCGUGCCAGCCGCAGC
Molecule: ribosomal RNA, 521 nt
Filed under: uncultured bacterium
Lineage: Bacteria
Description: bacterial SSU rRNA
Rfam family: Bacterial small subunit ribosomal RNA
Source: RNAcentral